GUCACACCAUGGGAGACUGGUAACACCCGAAGUCAGUAGUCUAACCGCAAGGAGGACGUUGCCGAAGGUGGGAUUAGCGACUGGGGUGAAGUCGUAACAAGGUACC
RNAcentral lists this ribosomal RNA (106 nucleotides) under uncultured bacterium. RNAcentral's name for it is "partial 16S ribosomal RNA". It matches the Rfam family "Bacterial small subunit ribosomal RNA", at positions 1396 to 1500 of the family's 1533-position model. The record is from RNAcentral.